Non-coding RNA from Pelobates cultripes (western spadefoot toad), 217 nucleotides. The record is from the annotation of a GenBank genome assembly. NCBI's taxonomy places the organism in Eukaryota, Metazoa, Chordata, Amphibia, Anura, Pelobatidae.
CACACACACACAGACAUACUGACAUACACACACACAGGCAUACUGACAUACACACAGACAGACAUACUGACACACACACACACACACACACAGACAUACUGACAUACAAACACAGAGACAUACUGACAUACACACACAGACAUACACACACACAGACAUACUGACAUACACACACAUACACAGACAUACUGACAUACACACACACACACACACAUAC